CCUUGGGCUGACGCCCAAGGCUCUAUGCUGCCGCUGCUUCGCAGCU
Molecule: small RNA, 46 nt
Filed under: Stieleria varia
Lineage: Bacteria; Pseudomonadati; Planctomycetota; Planctomycetia; Pirellulales; Pirellulaceae
Description: Acido-Lenti-1 RNA
Rfam family: Acido-Lenti-1 RNA
Source: Rfam by way of RNAcentral